RNAcentral lists this non-coding RNA (66 nucleotides) under Ixodes ricinus (castor bean tick). Lineage: Eukaryota; Metazoa; Arthropoda; Arachnida; Ixodida; Ixodidae. The record is from RNAcentral.
ACCUCUAUGCGUCGUCGUGUUCGUCGUCGGACAACCCCGAGGACCACGAGCGCCGCAAGGAGCACA